CCUACGGGAGGCAGCAGUGAGGAAUAUUGGUCAAUGGACGGAAGUCUGAACCAGCCAUGCCGCGUGCAGGAAGACGGCUCUAUGAGUUGUAAACUGCUUUUGUACAAGGGUAAACCUGAAUACGUGUAUUCAGCUGAGAGUACUGUACGAAUAAGGAUCGGCUAACUCCGUGCCAGCAGCCGCGGUAAUACGGAGGAUACAAGCGUUAUCCGGAUUUAUUGGGUUUAAAGGGUGCGUAGGCGGAUUGAUAAGUUAGAGGUAAAAUGUCCGAGCUUAACUCGGGAACUGCCUUUACAACUGUUGAUCUAGAGAUUGUAUGCGGUAUGCGGAAUGGAUGGUGUAGCGGUGAAAUGCUUAGAGAUCAUACAGAACACCGAUUGCGAAGGCAGCUUACCAAUCUAUCUCUGACGUUGAGGCACGAAAGCGUGGGUAUCAAACAGGAUUAGAUACCCCAGUAGUC
This 460-nucleotide ribosomal RNA is filed under the name uncultured bacterium. RNAcentral describes it as "partial 16S ribosomal RNA". It matches the Rfam family "Bacterial small subunit ribosomal RNA", at positions 338 to 795 of the family's 1533-position model. The record is from RNAcentral.